RNAcentral lists this long non-coding RNA (7894 nucleotides) under Zea mays. RNAcentral describes it as "long non-coding RNA (ZMAY_LNC001644)". Lineage: Eukaryota; Viridiplantae; Streptophyta; Magnoliopsida; Poales; Poaceae. The record is from RNAcentral.
CCAAACAUGAGUUUUGGACCUAAAAUUAGUGGUUUGGGCAUGUUCGUUGCGAAAAACGAAAAAAUGGUUCCGGUGGCAAAAACUCAUGCUUUGUAUGCACCCCGACACCCGUUUUCGGAAUGGGUGACGUGCGGCAACGAAAUUGCGCGAAACCACACAAACAUGAGUUUUGGACCUAAAGUAGUGGAUUGGGCAUGUUCGUUGCGAAAAACGAAGAAAUGGUUCCGGUGGCAAAAACUCGUGCUUUGUAUGCACCCGACACCCGUUUUCGGAAUGGGUGACGUGCGGCAACGAAAUUGCGCGAAACCACCCCAAACAUGAGUUUUGGACCUAAAGUAGUGGAUUGGGCAUGUUCGUUGCGAAAAACGAAGAAAUGGUUCCGGUGGCAAAAACUCGUGCUUUGAAUGCACCCGACACCCGUUUUCGAAUGGGUGACGUGCGGCAACGAAAUUGCGCGAAACCACCCAAACAUGAGUUUUGGACCUAAAGUAGUGGAUUGGGCAUGUUCGUUGCGAAAAACGAAGAAAUGGUUCUGGUGGCAAAAACUCGUGCUUUGUAUGCACCCCACACCGUUUUCGGAAUGGGUGACGUGCGGCAACGAAAUUGCGCGAAACCACCCCAAACAUGAGUUUUGGACCUAAAGUAGUGGAUUGGGCAUGUUCGUUGUGAAAAACGAAGAAAUGGUUCCGGUGGCAAAAACUCGUGCUUUGUAUGCACCCCGACACCCGUUUUCGGAAUGGGUGACGUGCGGCAACGAAAUUGCGCGAAACCACCCCAAACAUGAGUUUUGGACCUAAAGUAGUGGAUUGGGCAUGUUCGUUGCGAAAAACGAAGAAAUGGUUCGGUGGCAAAAACUCGUGCUUUGUAUGCACCCGACACCGUUUUCGGAAUGGGUGACGUGCGCAACGAAAUUGCGGAAACCACCCCAAACAUGAGUUUUGGACCUAAAGUAGUGGAUUGGGCAUGUUCGUUGCGAAAAACGAAGAAAUGGUUCCGGUGGCAAAAACUCUUGCUUUGUAUGCACCUCGACACCAGUUUCGGAAUGGGUGACGUGCGGCGACGAAAUUGCGCGAAACCACCCCAAACAUGAGUUUUGGACCUAAAGUAGUUCAUUGGGCAUGUUCGUUGUGAAAAACGAAGAAAUGGUUCUGGUGGCAAAACUCGUGCUUUGAAUGCACCCGACACCCGUUUUCGGAAUUGUGACAUGCGGCAACGAAAUUGCUUGAAACCACCCCAAACAUGAGUUUUGGACCUAAAGUAGUGGAUUGGGCAUGUUCGUUGUGAAAAACGAAGAAAUGGUUCCGGAGGCAAAAACUCGUGCUUUGUAUGCACCGACACCAGUUUUCUGAAUGUGUGACGUGCGGCAACGAAAUUGCGCGAAACCACCCAAACAUGAGUUUUGGACUAAAGUAGUGGAUUGGGCAUGUCGUUGUGAAAACGAAGAAAUGGUUCCGGUGGCAAAAACUCGUGCUUUGUAUGCACCCCGACACCAGUUUUCGGAAUGGUGACGUGCGGCAACGAAAUUGUGCGAAACCACCCAAACAUGAGUUUUGGACUAAAGUAGUGGAUUGGGCAUGUUCGUUGCGAAAAACGAAGAAAUGGUUCCGGUGGCAAAAACUCGUGCUUUGUAUGCACCCGACACCCGUUUUCGGAAUGGGUGACGUGCGGCAACAAAAUUGCGUGAAACCACCCCAAACAUGAGUUUUGGACCUAAAGUAGUGGAUUGGGCAUGUUUGUUGCAAAAAAGGAAGAAAUGGUUCCGGUGGCAAAAACUCAUGCUUUGAAUGCACCCGACACCAGUUCUCGGAAUGGGUGACGUGCGGCAACAAAUUUGCGUGAAACCACCCCAAACAUGAGUUUUGGACCUAAAAUAGUGGAUUGGGCAUGUUCGUUGCGAAAAACGAAGAAAUGGUUUUCGUGGCAAAAACUCGUGCUUUGAAUGCACCUCGACACCCGUUUUUGGAAUGGGUGACGUGCGGCAACGAAAUUACGCAAAACCACCACCAACAAGAGUUUUGGACUUAAAGUAGUGGAUUGUGCAUGUUCGUGGCGAAAAACAAAGAAAUGGUUCUGGUGGCAAAAACUCGUGCUUUGAAUGCACCCGACACCUAUUUUAGGAAUGGGUGACGUGCGGCAAUGAAAUUGCGCGAAACCACCCCAAACAUGAGUUUUGGACCUAAAGUAGUGGAUUGGGCAUGUUCGUGGCGAAAAACAAAGAAAUGGUUCUGGUGGCAAAAACUCGUGCUUUGAAUGCACUCGACACCUAUUUUAGGAAUGGGUGACGUGCGGCAAUGAAAUUGCGCGAAACCACCCCAAACAUGAGUUUUGGACCUAAAGUAGUGGAUUGGGCAUGUUCGUUGCAAAAAACGAAAAAAUGGUUCCGGUUGCAAAAACUCAUUAUUUGUAUACAUCCCGAUACCAGUUUCCGGAACAGGUGACGUGCAGUAACGAAAUUGCGCGAAACCACCCCAAACAUGAGUUUUGGACCUAAAGUAGUGGAUUGGGCAUGUUCGUUGCAAAAAACGAAGAAAUGGUUCCGGUGGCAAAAACUCGUGCUUUGUAUGCAACCCGACACCUGUUUUAGGAAUGGGUGACGUGCGGCAACGAAAUUGUGCGAAACCACCCCAAACAUGAGUUUUGGAUCUAAAGUUGUGGAUUGGACAUGUUCGUUGCGAAAAAUGAAGAAGUGGUUCCGGUGGCAAAAACUCUUGUUUUGUAUGCACCCCGACACCCGUUUUCAGAAUGCCACGUGAGGCAACGAAAUUGCGCAAUACCUCCCCUGACAUGAGUUUUGGACCUAAAGUAGUGGAUUAGGCAUGUUCGUUGCAAAAACGAAGAAAUGGUUCCGGUGGCAAGAACUCUUGCUUUGUAUGCACCCCGACACCCGUUUUCGGAAUGGGUGACGUGCGGCAACGAAAUUGCGUGAAACCACCCCAAACAUGAGUUUUGGACCUAAAGUAGUGGAUUGGGCAUGUUCGAUGCGAAAAACGAAGAAAUGGUUCCGGUGGCAAAAACUCGUGCUUUGAAUGCACCCCGACACAAGUUUUCGCAAUGGGUGACGUAUGUCAACGAAAUUGCGCGAAACCACCCCAAACAUGGGUUUUGGACCUAAAGUGGUGGAUUGGGCAUGUUCGUUGAGUAAAAUGAAGAAAUGGUUCUGUUUGCAAAACUCAUUAUUUGUAUGCAUCCCGAUACCAGUUUCCGGAACAGGUGGCGUGCAACAAUGAAAUUGCGCGAAACCACCCCAAAUAUUAGUUUUGGACCUAAAGUAGUGGAUUGGGCAUGUUCAUUGCGAAAAACGAAGAAAUGGUUUCGGUGCUAAAAACUCGUGCUUUGAAUGCACCUCGACACCCGUUUUCGGGUUGGGUGACGUGCGGCAACGAAAUUGCGCAAAACCGCCCCAAACAUGAGUUUUUGACCUAAAGUAAUGGAUUGGGCAUGUUCGUUGCGAAAAACAAAGAAAUGGUUCCGUUGGCAAAAACUCGUGCUUUGAAUGCACACCGACGCCCGUUUUCGGAAUGGGUGACGUGCGGCAACGAAAUUGCGUGAAACCACCCCAAACAUGAGUUUUGGACCUAAAGUAGUGGAUUGGGCAUGUUCGUUGCGAAAAACGAAGAAAUGGUUCGGUAUCAAAAACUCGUGCUUUGUAUGCACCCCGACACCCGUUUUCGAAAUGGGUGACGUGCGACAACGAAAUUGUGCGAAACCUCCCCAAACAAGAGUUUUGGACCUAAAGUAGUGGAUUGGGCAUGUUCGUGGCGAAAAACAAAGAAAUGGUUCUGAUGGCAAAAACGUGUGCUUUGUAUGCACCCGGACACCCGUUUUCGGAAUGGGUGACGUGCGGCAACGAAAUUGCGCGAAACCAGUAAACAUGAGUUUUGGACCUAAAGUGGUGGAUUGGGCAUGUUCGUUGUGAAAAACGAAGAAAUGGUUCCAAUUGCAAAAAAACUCAUUAUUUGUAUGCAUCCCGAUACCAGUUUCCGGAAUAGGUGACGUACAGCAACGAAAUUGCACGAAACUACCCCAAACAUGAGUUUUAGACCUAAAGUAGUGGAUUGGGCAUGUUCGUUGCGAAAAACGAAGAAAUGGUUCCGGUGGCAAAAACUCGUGCUUUGUAUGCACCCCGACACCCGUUUUCGGAAUGGGUGACGUGCGGCAACCAAAUUGCGCGAAACCACCCCAAACAUGAGUUUUGGACCUAAAGUAGUGGAUUGGCAUGUUUGUUGCGAAAAAUGAAGAAAUGGUUUCGAUGGCAAAAACUCGUGCUUUGAAUGCACCCGACACCCGUUUUCGGAAUGGGUGACAUGCAGCAACGAAAUUGCGCGAAACCACCCCAAACACGAGUUUUGGACCUAAAGUAGUGGAUUGGGCAUGUUCGUUGCGAAAAAUAAAGAAAUGGUUCCGGUGGCAAAAACUCGUGCUUUGAAUGCACCCUUCACCCGUUUUCGGAAUUGUGACAUGCAGCAACGAAAUUGCUUGAAACCACCCCAAACAUGAGUUUUGGACCUAAAGUAGUGGAUUGGGCAUGUUCGUUGUGAAAAACGAAGAAAUGGUUCCAGAGGCGAAAACUUGUGCUUUGUAUGCACCCCGACACCAGUUUUCGGAAUGUGUGACGUGCGACAACGAAAUUGUGCGAAAGCACCACAAACAUGAGUUUUGGACUUAAAGUAGUGGAUUGGGCAUGUUCGUUGUGAAAAAUGAAGAAAUGGUUCCGGAGGCAAAAACUCGUGCUUUGUAUGCACCCCGACACCAGUUUUCGGAAUGUGUGACGUGCGGCAACGAAAUUGCGCGAAACCACCACAAACAUGAGUUUUGGACUUAAAGUAGUGGAUUGGGCAUGUUCGUUGCGAAAAACGAAGAAAUGGUUCCGAUGGCAAAAACUCGUGCUUUGUAUGCACCCGACACCCGUUCUCGGAAUGCGUGACGUGCGGCAACAAAAUUGCGUGAAACCACCCCAAACAUGAGUUUUGCACCUAAAGUAGUGGAUUGGGCAUGUUUGUUGCGAAAAAGAAAGAAAUGGUUCCGGUGGCAAAAACUCGUGCUUUGAAUGCACCCGACACCAGUUUUCGGAAUGGGUGACGUCUCGGAAUGGGUGACGUGCGGCAACAAAUUUGCGUGAAACCACCCCAAACAUGAGUUUGGACCUAAAAUAGUGGAUUGGACAUGUUCGUUGCGAAAAACGAAGAAAUGGUUUUCGUGGCAAAAACUCGUGCUUUGAAUGCACCUCGACACCCGUUUUCGGAAUGAGGGACGUGCGGCAACGAAAUUAUGCAAAACCACCACAAACAUGAGUUUUGGACUUAAAUAGUGGAUUGGGCAUGUUUGUUGCGAAAAAUGAAGAAAUCGUUCCGGUGGCAAAAACCCGUGCUUUGUAUGCACCCUACACCAGUUUUCGGAAUGGGUGACGUGCGGCAACGAAAUUGCGCGAAACCACCCCCAAACAUGAGUUUUGGACCUAAAGUAGUGGAUUGGGCAUGUUCGUUGCGAAAAAUGAAGAAAUGGUUCCGGUGGCAAAAACUCAUGCAUUGUAUGCACCCCGACACCCGUUUUCGGAACCGGUGAUUUGCGGCAACGAAAUUGCGCAAAACCACCACAAACAUGAGUUUUGGACCUAAAGUAGUGGAUUGGGCAUGUUCGUUGCGAAAAACGAAAAAUGGUUCUGGUGGCAAAAACUCGUGCUUUGAAUGCACCUCGACACCCAUUUUUGGAAUGGGUAACGUGCGGCAACGAAAUUGCGCAAAACUACCACAAACAUUAGUUUUGUACUUAAAGUAGUGGAUUGGGCAUGUUCGUUGCGAAAAACGAAAAAAUCAUUCCGGUGGCAAAAACUCGUGCUUUCUACGCACCCAAACACCAGUUUUCGGAAUGGGUGAUGUGCGGCAACGAAAUUGUGCGAAACCACCCCAAACAUGAGUUUUGGACCUAAAGUAGUGGAUUGGGCAUGUUCAUUGCGAAAAAUGAAGAAAUGGUUCCGGUGGCAAAAACUCAUGCUUUGUAUGCACCCCGACACCCGUUUUCGGAAUCGGUGAUGUGCGGCAACGAAAUUGCGCAAAACCACCACAAACAUGAGUUUUGGACCUAAAGUAGUGGAUUGGGCAUGUUUGUUGCGAAAAACGAAAAAAUGGUUCUGGUGGCAAAAACUCGUGCUUUGAAUGCACCUCGACAACCAUUUUCGGAAUGGGUAACGUGCGGCAACGAAAUUGCGCUAAACCACCACAAACAUGAGUUUUGUACAUAAAGUAGUGGAUUGGGCAUGUUCGUUGAGAAAAACGAAAAAAUCGUUCCGGUGGCAAAAACUCGUGCUUUGUAUGCACCCCUACACCAGUUUUCGGAAUAGGUGACGUGCGGCAACGAAAUUGCGCGAAACCACCCUAAACAUGAGUUUUGGACCUAAAGUAGUGGAUUGGGCAUGUUCGUUGCGAAAAACGAAGAAAUGGUUCCGUUGGCAAAAACUCGUGCUUUGAAUGCACCCGACACCAGUUUUCGGAAUGGGUGACGUGCGGCAACGAAAUUGCGCGAAACCACCCCAAACAUGAGUUUUGGACCUAAAGUAGUGGAUUGGGCAUGUUCGUUGGGAAAAACGAAGAAAUGGUUCUGGUGGCAAAAACUCGUGCUUUGAAUGCACCUCGACACCCGUUUUCGAAAUGGGUGACGUGCGGCAACGAAAUUGCGCGAAACCACCACAAACAUGAGUUUUGGACUUAAAGUAGUGGAUUGGGCAUGUUCGUUGAGAAAAACGAAGAAAUCGUUCUGGUGGCAAAAACUCGUGCUUUGUAUGCACCCCAACACCAGUUUUCGGAAUGGGUGACGUGCGGCAACGAAGUUGCACGAAACCACCCCAAACAAGAGUUUCGGACCUAAAGUAGUGGAUUGGGCAUGUUCGUUGCGAAAAACGAAGAAAUGGUUCCGGUGGCAAAAACUCGUGCUUUGUAUGCACCCCGACACCAGUUUUCGGAAUGGGUGACGUGCGGCAACAAAAUUGCGCGAAACCACCCCAAACAUGAGUUUUGGACUUAAAGUAGUGGAUUGGGCAUGUUCGUUGCGAAAAACGAAGAAAUGGUUUCGAUGGCAAAAACUUGUGCUUUGAAUGCACCCGACACCAGUUUUCGGAAUGGGUGACGUGUGGCAACAAAAUUGCGUGAAACCACCCCAAACAUGAGUUUUGGACCUAAAGUAGUGGAUUGAGCAUGUUUGUUGCGAAAAAGGAAGAAAUGGUUCCGGUGGCAAAAACUCGUGCUUUGAAUGCACCCGACACCAGUUUUCGGAAUGGGUGACGUCUCGGAAUGGGUGACGUGCGGCAACAAAUUUGCGUGAAACCACCCCAAACAUGAGUUUUGGACCUAAAAUAGUGGAUUGGGCAUGUUCGUUGCGAAAAACAAAGAAACGGUUUUCGUGGCAAAAACUCGUGCUUUGAAUGCACCUCGACACCCGUUUUCGGAAUGGGUGACGUGCGGCAACGAAAUUACGCAAAACCACCACAAACAUGAGUUUUGGACUUAAAGUAGUGGAUUGGGCAUGUUCGUAGCGAAAAAUGAAGAAAUCAUUCCGGUGGCAAAAACUCGUGCUUUGUAUGCACUCAUACACCAGUUUUCAGAAUGGGUGGCGUGCGGCAACGAAAUUGCGCGAAACCACCCCAAACAUGAGUUUUGGACCUAAAGUAGUGGAUUAGGCAUGUUCGUUGCAAAAAAUGAAGAAAUGGUUCCGGUGGCAAAAACUCGUGCUUUGUAUGCACCUCGACACCCGUUUUUGGAAUCGGUGAUGUGCGGCAACGAAAUUGCGCAAAACCACCACAAACAUGAGUUUUGGACCUAAAGUAGUGGUUUGGGCAUGUUCGUUGUGAAAAACAAAGAAAUGGUUCCGGUGGCAAAAACUCAUGCUUCGUAUGCACCCCGAC